RNAcentral lists this ribosomal RNA (461 nucleotides) under uncultured eukaryote. Its description in RNAcentral is "bacterial SSU rRNA". It matches the Rfam family "Eukaryotic small subunit ribosomal RNA", at positions 707 to 1152 of the family's 1831-position model. The record is from RNAcentral.
GUGGAGGGAUCCACAGUAUUGUGUAAAAUGGGGUUCCCAGUUCAUUUACUUUGAGUAAAUUAGAGUGUUCAAAGCAGCCUCUUGGGGCAUUGAAUAUAUUAGCAUGGGAUAAUAGAAUAGGACUCUUGUUCAUUUAUUGGUUUAUGAAUUUAGAGUAAUGAUUAAUAGGGAUAGUUGGGGGCACUUGUACUCAAUAGUCAGAGGUGAAAUUCUAGGAUUUAUUGAAGACAAACUUCAGCGAAAGCAUUUGCCAAGGAUGUUUUCAUUAAUCAAGAACGAAAGUUAGGGGAUCGAAGACGAUUAGACACCGUCGUAGUCUUAACUAUAAACUAUGCCGACCAGGGAUAUGAGGAUUCUUAUUUAUGCUAUUAAGUUAGCAUAAUUCCUUGUGCACCUUGUGAGAAAUCAUAAGUGUUUGGGUUCUGGGGGGAGUAUGGUCGCAAGGCUGAAACUUAAAGGAA